RNAcentral lists this non-coding RNA (28 nucleotides) under Mus musculus (house mouse). Lineage: Eukaryota; Metazoa; Chordata; Mammalia; Rodentia; Muridae. The record is from RNAcentral.
AACAAAAAAUUGGGACUUUGUAAUUGGG